AAAUGACUCUCGGCAACGGAUAUCUCGGCUCUUGCAUCGAUGAAGAACGUAGCGAAAUGCGAUACUUGGUGUGAAUUGCAGAAUCCCGUGAACCAUCGAGUCUUUGAACGCAAGUUGCGCCCAAAGCCAUUAGGCUGAGGGCACGCCUGCCUGGGUGUCACA
RNAcentral lists this ribosomal RNA (162 nucleotides) under Phaseolus vulgaris (common bean). RNAcentral's name for it is "5.8S ribosomal RNA". It matches the Rfam family "5.8S ribosomal RNA". Rfam says of the family: 5.8S ribosomal RNA (5.8S rRNA) is a component of the large subunit of the eukaryotic ribosome. It is transcribed by RNA polymerase I as part of the 45S precursor that also contains 18S and 28S rRNA. Lineage: Eukaryota; Viridiplantae; Streptophyta; Magnoliopsida; Fabales; Fabaceae. The record is from RNAcentral.